RNAcentral lists this ribosomal RNA (253 nucleotides) under uncultured bacterium. Its description in RNAcentral is "partial 16S ribosomal RNA". It matches the Rfam family "Bacterial small subunit ribosomal RNA", at positions 524 to 776 of the family's 1533-position model. The record is from RNAcentral.
UACGUAGGGGGCAAGCGUUGUCCGGAUUUAUUGGGCGUAAAGAGCGUGUAGGCGGCUUGGUAGGUCCGCUGUGAAAACUCGAGGCUCAACCUCGAGAUGUCGGCGGAAACCACUUGGCUAGAGUCCGGAAGAGGAGAGUGGAGUUCCUGGUGUAGCGGUGAAAUGCGCAGAUAUCAGGAAGAACACCUAUGGCGAAGGCAGCUCUCUGGGACGGUACUGACGCUGAGACGCGAAAGCGUGGGGAGCGAACAGG